RNAcentral lists this ribosomal RNA (465 nucleotides) under Microbacterium sp. VP1-3. RNAcentral describes it as "bacterial SSU rRNA". It matches the Rfam family "Bacterial small subunit ribosomal RNA", at positions 921 to 1381 of the family's 1533-position model. Lineage: Bacteria; Bacillati; Actinomycetota; Actinomycetes; Micrococcales; Microbacteriaceae. The record is from RNAcentral.
CCGCACAAGCGGCGGAGCAUGCGGAUUAAUUCGAUGCAACGCGAAGAACCUUACCAAGCUUGACAUAUACGAGACGGCCAGAAAUGGUCAACUCUUUGGACCACUUGUAAAACAGGUGGUGCAUGGUUGUCGUCAGGCUCCGUGGUCGUGAGAUGUUGGGUUAAGUCCCGCAACGAGCGCAACCCUCGUUCUAUGUUGCCAGCACGUAAUGGUGGGAACUCAUGGGAUACUGCCGGGGUCAACUCGGAGGAAGGUGGGGAUGACGUCAAAUCAUCAUGCCCCUUAUGUCUUGGGCUUCACGCAUGCUACAAUGGCCGGUACAAUGGGCAGCAAUACCGUGAGGUGGAGCGAAUCCCAAAAAGCCGGUCCCAGUUCGGAUUGAGGUCUGCAACUCGACCUCAUGAAGUCGGAGUCGCUAGUAAUCGCAGAUCAGCAACGCUGCGGUGAAUACGUUCCCGGGUCUAG